CGUGGAGACAGGUGGUGCAUGGUUGUCGUCAGCUCGUGUCGUGAGAUGUUGGGUUAAGUCCCGCAACGAGCGCAACCCUUGUCCUUAGUUACCAGCAUUAAGUUGGGGACUCUAGGGAGACUGCCAGUGACAAACUGGAGGAAGGUGGGGAUGACGUCAAAUCAUCAUGCCCUUUAUGCCUUGGGCUACACACGUACUACAAUGGGCUGUACAGAGGGCGGCGAGACUGUGAAGUCAAGCGAAUCCCUUAAAGCAGUCCUCAGUUCGGAUUGUAGGCUGCAACUCGCCUACAUGAAGCUGGAAUCGCUAGUAAUCGCAGGUCAGCAUACUGCGGUGAAUACGUUCCCGGGCCUUGUACACACCGCCCGUCACACCACGAAAGUCUGCUGUACUCGAAGUCGCUGAG
Molecule: ribosomal RNA, 406 nt
Filed under: uncultured Methylomirabilota bacterium
Lineage: Bacteria; Methylomirabilota (SeqCode)
Description: bacterial SSU rRNA
Rfam family: Bacterial small subunit ribosomal RNA
Source: RNAcentral